UCUCAUUCUAGCAUGCUUCCUUCUCUCCUCACUUAUGCUGGUGUCUAUUUCUUUUUGCCAUUUUUGUUCUGUUGUUCUCUCCGCUUCAGCUAUGGUUACACUCUCCAAAGUACCCAUGCAUCCUGGUCAGUGAGAUAAAAUCAAAAAGCUUGAAAAUGGAGAUAGAGAAUAUUUCUGAGUUCUGCUAAAUUUUCCUCUAUCUUAGUGAGAACGUAAAUGUUAUCCUAUUGUUUAUAGACUACUCAUUUGCAUAUAGAUUUUUUUUUUCAAGUGCUUUAUUUUACUUUUUAAUUGAAUGUAUAAGUGGAUUUUUUAUUUACAAGUAUAUGGGUUUUCCUCCUUUAAAUUUUUUA
This is a long non-coding RNA of Lycium ferocissimum, 353 nucleotides long. RefSeq lists it as uncharacterized. NCBI's taxonomy places the organism in Eukaryota, Viridiplantae, Streptophyta, Magnoliopsida, Solanales, Solanaceae. The transcript is spliced from 2 exons. The record is from RefSeq and is a predicted model, not a curated record.